Molecule: ribosomal RNA, 371 nt
Filed under: uncultured bacterium
Lineage: Bacteria
Description: bacterial SSU rRNA
Rfam family: Bacterial small subunit ribosomal RNA
Source: RNAcentral
GGAGUGUGCAAGCGUUACUCGGAAUCACUGGGCAUAAAGCGCACGUAGGCGGAGAUGCAUGUCCGGGGUGAAAUCCCCCAGCUCAACUGGGGAACUGCUUCGGAAACUGCAUUUCUUGAGGACGAGAGGGGAGAGUGGAACUUCUGGUGGAGCGGUGAAAUGCGUAGAUAUCAGAAGGAACACCGGUGGCGAAAGCGACUCUCUGGCUCGUAUCUGACGCUGAGGUGCGAAAGCUUGGGUAGCAAACAGGAUUAGAUACCCUGGUAGUCCAAGCCGUAAACGAUGGGCACUAGGCAGGGGGGGUUCCGAUGCCCUCCUUGCUGGAGCUAAUGUGUUAAGUGCCCCGCCUGGGGAGUACAGUCGCAAGGCCG